CUUUGGCUGGGUGGUUAAGGUGUGUGCCUGCCAAGUACAUGGGGUUUCCCUGCGAGAGUUCAAAUCUCUCAGG
Transfer RNA from Nicotiana attenuata, 73 nucleotides. It matches the Rfam family "tRNA", at positions 5 to 66 of the family's 71-position model. Rfam says of the family: Transfer RNA (tRNA) molecules are approximately 80 nucleotides in length. The record is from Rfam. NCBI's taxonomy places the organism in Eukaryota, Viridiplantae, Streptophyta, Magnoliopsida, Solanales, Solanaceae.